AUACUUACCUGGCAGGGGAGACACCAUGAUCACGAAGGCGGUUCACCCAGGACGAGGCUCGGCCAUUGCACUCAGGUUGGGUUGACUUUUGCGAAUUCCCCAAAUGUGGGAAUCUCGACUGCAUAAUUUCUGGUAGUAGUGGGGGACUGCGUUCGCGCUCUCCCCUU
Small nuclear RNA from Triplophysa dalaica, 167 nucleotides. RefSeq annotates it as U1 spliceosomal RNA. The transcript has a single exon. The record is from RefSeq and is a predicted model, not a curated record. Lineage: Eukaryota; Metazoa; Chordata; Actinopteri; Cypriniformes; Nemacheilidae.